RNAcentral lists this long non-coding RNA (5856 nucleotides) under Canis lupus familiaris (dog). RNAcentral describes it as "lncRNA (ENSCAFG00000057659.1)". Lineage: Eukaryota; Metazoa; Chordata; Mammalia; Carnivora; Canidae. The record is from RNAcentral.
GUUGGGCAAUUAUAGUUAAAUGAAUGGAUGAAUAGAUAAAUAAAAGGCAGAUUUCAAAAGGAGGAGCAAGAAGUUUCAGGUGAACGUAUACUCACAAGUUGUUGCAAAUGGGCCAUAAAGUAAAUUCUGAGCAUAGACUACUUGGUUAUAAUCAAUUAAAAUGAAACAUUUUAUUAAAUCUUUUUUUCUUGUUAAGUUAUAGUCAUAUAUGUGUGUCUUCCCCAGGAAUUACAUGAGACUGUAUAACAAAGCACCUAGAUCUUUGCCUGGCACUUACUGGGCACUCAGUCACUAAUUAUUAAGUGAAAAAUAACCAGAGAGGAGACCUUCUAGACUUUAUAUUAUUUUUUCCUUUUUUCAAAACAGUUCCCAAUGAAAAUACGUAAAAUAAUUUAUUAAUUGCUAAAAUAUUAUAAAACUUGACUGGGUUUGUAUUACUGUUCUGUUAUCUACGUAACAGAAUCGCUACGUAUCUAUUCAACUAUGUAAUAUCUAAUUAUUAUCUGAAUUUAAAGUAGAGAUUUUUAAAGCAAAUAUCUUUUGCUUUAAAAACAAAGAUAUUUGAGCCUAAAGAAUUCUUUCAGAGUAUUGAAAAGGCAUCUCAUUGAAGGUGAGCUGAAUUUUGAGGCUCAUUUGUAAAGGCUCUUCUCACUGUACCUCUCCUCCAGAAAUUAAUUUAUAAAAUAAUUCUACUGAAAUUUACUCCUUCUACUAAAUACAUCUACUGACAUUACUCCUUUUAUUAAAGAGAAACAGUAACUUGUAAAAAGUCACUUCUAAGUUCAUUUUGUUUUUCUGUCUUUUUUUUUUAAAUUAUUUAUUUAUUUAUUUAUGAUAGUCACAGAGAGAGAGAGAGAGGCAGAGACAUAGGCAGAGGGAGAAGCAGGCUCCAUGCACCAGGAGCCCGACGUGGGAUUCGAUCCCGGGUCUCCAGGAUCGCGCCCUGGGCCAAAGGCAGGCGCUAAACCGCUGCGCCACCCAGGGAUCCCUGUUUUUCUGUCUUUUACCCAAACAGCAACUCUAAUUUGUAAACAUUUUAGUGUUGUAUUUUAAAAGGAUACUAUUGCCAUGUAAAAAUUUUGGUUAGCAUAGAGCUUUAGUAGAAUCCAUUGCAAAUGCCAAGCACGUGUAUUUUUGCCUCUGGUUCCCAAUUCAAAUAAUUUUUAUCCUCAUUUCUCUCUAUUGCAGAAGUACAGAUCAUGUUUCCCUUUUUUGGCAGUUAGUUGAAUACUUUAAAAAAAAAAUCAAAACAAUUAUUCAUUGCCCUCAUGUACCCCAGCUUCGCACAUUUCUGUAGAUGCUUUGAUCAGCUGAUUGCCUUAAUGACCGACGUCUGAUCUUUUUGAAUAUGGGAAUACUCAUUAGGUAACAUGGUCUGAAUUACCCCAUAUCCACACUGGUGUUCUCUCUCUUUUACAGAUAGGAAAGGAAUUUCUCUGGAAUUUCCCUAAGACUACGUACGGCUUAAUUCCCCACUAUAAUCCCUGAUAGGGGUUAAGGGGAACAGGUGAACUUCUGAGUUGUUCCACAGAAUAUGAGUUCUGCCAGCUAAAUGGAACAUUAAAAUUUAGAACAUUCAGCACAAAAACAUCUGAUCAGCUUGCAUAUGGAAACUCAAAAAAGAUUGUGCUGCAUUAUACAGUUAAAAUGUAAGACAUAAACAUUGAAGUUGCAUGGCAUCAGAACCACUUUUAGAAUUUUUAAUGCAAACAUUAUCUCACAUGCAUUGCCUCUUGCUUUAACUUCUGUAAUUUGAGUAUGUAUGCUUUUUUUUAAAAUAUUUUUUUCUUUAUUUAUGAUAGUCACACAGAGAGAGAGAGAGAGAGAGAGAGGCAGAGACACAGGCAGAGGGAGAAGCAGGCUCCAUGCACCGGGAGCCCGACAUGGGACUCAAUCCCGGGUCCCCAGGAUCGCGCCCCGGGCCAAAGGCAGGCGCCAAACCGCUGGGAUCCUGAGUAUGUAUGCUUAAUGUCCCUUAGAGAAGGGAGGGAGCCUGUUUGGGAGAAAUAAAGUUUAAAGAGUAUAGGGGAGUCAUUCAGCCAUUCCUGUCUUUCUGAAAGUGAAUGUGUGUUUCUCAGAGUUGGAAGAUGUUCUUUCACUUCUUGAUUGUGUUUCAUAGUAUGAACAACUCCCUCUCCUGAGUGUGAGUCUGGCAUUCUUGAACAGAUAGGCUAUUUCAUCUAUAUUCAGCUGAAUGGACAGGUAUCUGAACAGUGCUAGAGGAAAACUGACUGUUUUGGCCUUACUGAACGAUAAUAAUUUAUAGGCUGACUUGAGAGAUAUUCAGAGGUAAUUUUAAUUUUGACUGGGCAAUUUUUGCCUUUUACAAUGACUUUAGAACCUAAUUCUGGAGUAAGAUGUAACAUUGCUGUACUUUCACAUGCAUUAAAGAUUAACUAGAUCAACAGAGCUGAAGCAAAUGGAAACAUUUGAGAAUAAAUGGCUGAACAUUCAAGGGUGCCUGGGUGGCGCAGUUGGUUAAGCAUCUCAGGGGUGUGGGAUCAAGCUUUCUGUUGAGCUCUGUGCUCCGUGUGGAAUCUGCUUGAGUUUCUCUCUCCCUCUCCCUCUGCCCCCUCCCUGCACUCUGUCUCUCUCUCUCUAAAAUAAAUAAAUCUUAAAAAAAAAUAUUAAGUAAGAUAUAGAUAAAUAAUUCUUUAAUCAAUCAGUUUUCUUUAAAGGCUGGUUAAUGUACUUUCCAGCUUCUUAAAAUUUUGGCCACAGAGAACAAGUGGGAAGGAAGGGAUUGAUUCAGGAUAGUUGUAGUUAAAUUAGCCAAAAUAAGGGAUUCUAGAGAUCUUGAUAUAAAUACAUUAAAUAAAAAGCUGGUCAUUUUCAUUAAAUCUGAUGGUUAAAAAGGCUUUAACAUUAAUCUAAAGUUUUAAAAAUAUACAUUCUUGAGGAAUUGCCUAGUAGCUAAUAAGUUAUAUGUCAGACCCUGUUUAAUGCUGUUUAAUCUUCACAAUUGUAGGUGGGUCAAUAAACACUAUUCUAAGUGCUUUAUAUAAACUCAUUAGAUUCUCAACAGCUCUAUUUCGAGUAAGGACUGUUGUUAUGACAACCUUGCAGAUGAGAACCUGCAGUAUAGUCACAGUCAGAAAGGCACAUAGCUAUUAAAAUAGAUGAGUCAGGAUUCAAAUUCAAACUGGCUCCAUUUCCUAUACUCUUAACUUGUCUUCUGUUCUGAUCUCUUACAUUCUUGUGUCACAUACAAAGCUUUCCAAUGCCCACUCUGGUUUAUGGAAAGUUGCUUCUUUGAGGAUUGAGACUAAGUUAGCAAAAAUUUUCUCAUUUUUACCAGAGGCAUGAAAUUGGAGAGUGGUUAUAACCUCAUUUCUAAUCUUAUAUCAGACCAGAUCAUCAGUAAGCUAGUUAGUUCUAUAUUUUAGUACAGGUGGUACCUCUCUCCCUCCACUGCCAUUUGAACAUUUGCAUUAUGCCAUUCCACUUUUGUGAAAGACCUCCAUAAGUACCUGUUUUCACUAACAGAUAUCUCAAGAGGAUUUUUGCUUUUAUGGAAAAAAAAAAAAGGUGAAAAGCAAAAAAUAGUGUUCAGUGUUUGUUUUGCAUUGAGCCCCUCUGUAGAGGCAGCACACACCCCACGCAAUGAUAGGCCUAGCCAAACACCUUCCUGGGGAACAAUACCCAGCAUCAGAGUUGCCAUAGCUUUAAACUCUUUGACUGUUUUAUUUCACGUUAUUUUGUGCAUCUGUUAGCAAGAUACAUUAUAAGGUAUCAGAAAAACCUAAGACAGGGUGUUCUUUGGGAGGGGGUGGUCUAGGAACACUCAGCAAUUUUUCUAUAUCAAUUAAUGGUAAUUGCUCUUCACUUUAUACCGUUUCUGCUUAUAAAAGUUUUCAUAGGAAUGCUCUGCUUUUGGGUAAUGGGGAACCUGUAUCAUUCCCUCAUAUUUUAUCAAUCUUUUUAAGAUGCAGUUACAUAAAAAAAUUACUUCAUCUCCUAUAAUAUUUUUGAAUGCAUUGUCUUAUAUAAUGUUUAGUGUUCCCUUUAUAAGAAUUCAUGUGACAAAUUCUUUGAAGAUUUAGUUUAGACAAAAGUUUCCUUACGACCUAGCACACUUCCUUCUAUUAGCCAUUGAGAAUUAUUUAGCCCAUCAUGUUUUUUAUUUGCUUGGGCUGCAAGGAAGUUUGGAGUUAGAUUUCAUUUUAAUUACAGUAACUUUAUUAGUCUAGGCUUUUGGAUGGAAAAUUUCUUUUCUAGUUCUCUGUGGCAGGAGUUUUUAAUCCCCUCUCUGUGUAUCACCAUCACCCUCUGAAAUGAUAGGUAAAAUUGUUUUUGUGCAUAUGACAAUCUGGUGGAGUAUCUUUGGCUUUUAUCAAAUGCUUAGUGACCUCCACUCUUUGCCGUUAAGAUAAAGAACCAUUGUUUUCUGGGUUUACUUUUCAUUUUAUAUUUUAAUGGCCUAAUUGUUUGUACAAGGUCUCUUAGAAGCUGCUGAUACCCUUUUAGGCAGUAGUUGGGCAAUAAAUCAUAUCUUUACAUUUAAAUAAUUAUCCUGUGUCUUAAAUUUGCCAUAAAGUUAAAAAGCAUCCUCUCUGUAUUUUUAAAAGCACUCAGUCUUGGAAACUUAAAGGAUACUUGAUAUUAGAGAGCAGGGGAAGAUGGCAGAGUAGGAGGAUCCUGAGCUCACUUCUUCCCAUAGACACACCAUGAAGCAACAGUUAGGUGAAAUACAACCAGCAGAGCAGAUCUUCCACAGCUAAAGACACAAAGAGGAAGCCACAUUUAGAAUAGUAGAAGAAGCCAGAUGUGAUUGGGAUCCAGACCCCCAGUGUGACGACCUACAAGUGGGAGAGCCAUUAUAGAGACUCUUGAAGGUCCUCCCUGAGGUGGCAGGGGAUCAAGCUCCACAUUAGGCAUUAGAGAUCUGCCUUAGAGAUCUGCAUUGACAAGAUGAACCCCCAUAAUGUCUGGCUUUAAAAAUCAGUGACUUAAUCCUGGGGUAGCUGGAGGGCUGCAGGAAACAGAGGGUCAGUGUGUUGUAUCACUCAGUGGAGAUCCAGCUCAAAAAGUAGUUUGAAAAGUGCCAGGGUUAAUUAAAUGUGAAGGAGAUUUACUGAUUAAUUUUAGAGUGUGUACUAGAGGGACAAGGAUCUGUGGGAGCUUUCUGUAAGAACAGAGUGCUGGCAGGUGCUGUUUUUCUUACCUUCCUUCCUCGCUGGCUGGACACUGGUUGGGGUUCUGACACUCUCCAUCUGUGUUGUUGGCAUUGCUUGCCCAACCCUGGUGUUCCCCUGCAGACUUGUCCCACUCAAACCCUUCUGUCACAGCAGAUACCCCAGCAAAACAGCUCCUGCCCUGCCAUAGCUGACAGGUAGCCUCCAUGGGGACUAGUAUCCACUCAAAGCAAAUACCACCCUGCCACAUUUGGUGAGCAGCCGCAGCUGGGACUGGCACCCCUCCAAACCUACUCCUGUCAGGGAGGUGGGGAGCCAGCACUAAUAUCCAAUACUCCUCUCUGGUGGCUGGCCCCCCAUGUUAUCAUGUGUGCAGCAGCUAGAAUUGGGCCUCUCAGCCAGCCAUGCCUGUUAACCAGUGCACCCAUAAUGGUUUUGGCUGGUCAUUGCAGACACCCAGUCUGAGGACCAGCCCAGUCCACUAAGUGCCCAUGGCAGUUGCAGCACAAUCAGAACAGGGUUCAAUGCAGUCCACACAGGGGACACCCUGGAGUGCAUGGUCUAGUGACAAGGGGAGAGAUUGUGCUCUUGAGCACCACAGGACACCUUCUGUAUAAAGCCACUACUUUUAAGAUCAGGAGAUCUAGCUGACCUACCUACCUGUGUAGAAACAGUCCCACAAAAUGAGACAAAGGAGUAUGUUUCAAAUGAAAGACAAAAA